Long non-coding RNA from Lepisosteus oculatus (spotted gar), 658 nucleotides. RefSeq lists it as uncharacterized. The record is from RefSeq and is a predicted model, not a curated record. NCBI's taxonomy places the organism in Eukaryota, Metazoa, Chordata, Actinopteri, Semionotiformes, Lepisosteidae.
AUGGGCUCCGAGACAGGCUGUUCGCGCACGGCUCUUGCAAAAAUCCCCAUUUCGUCCGCAUUCAGCCGGCUAAGGCUGUCACUACAAGAUUGUCUUCAAAUUAAGGGUGUUCCCAUUCUGUGAAGUGAAUGGAAAUUCCAUUGCUGUGCUGAUGGUGCACUACAACUCACUGAAAGAGGGAUGUCACUUACAGUACUUAAUUCCUACAGUAAUACUGUCUUGUUUCUGGAGUACAUAAUUUGAUAUAUCCUUAUUUUUUAUCCUGCAGUCAGUCUUUAGUCUGAAGAGGUGUGAGCAGGAAGUGGGUCAGUUCAUGGGUUUCAAAAAUAGGAACAAUGUAGUUGAAAUACUUGCCAUCAAAAAAGAUGUUGACUGCAGGCUUUGAUUCGAAUAUAAGGAUAAAUGUCAGUACAUAAGAUGUUUGAUUGAUAUGUUUAUUCAAAUAUUUCAUUUGGUAAAAAAACAGCAUUGUAAAGCACUCCAGAUGUCUAAAUGGCUUGAAACUUGAACCAAGUUAAAAUAGAAAACAACAACAAUAAUAUUUAAAAAAUGGUCGUUGGAUGAUAAACAAUAAUGGUUCUGAUAUUGUUGCACUCAUUUAAAGGCAUUUGCAGUGUUGAGCAAUUUAAUUUUUUUAAAGAAAAAACAUUUUUUUCUG